GGUUAAGCGAACAAGCGUACACGGUGGAUGCCCUGGCAGUCAGAGGCGAUGAAGGACGUGCUAAUCUGCGAAAAGCGCCGGUAAGGUGAUAUGAACCGUUAUAACCGGCGAUGUCCGAAUGGGGAAACCCGGUGCACUUCGGUGCAUCAUCGUUAGCUGAAUACAUAGGCUAACGAGGCGAACCGGGGGAACUGAAACAUCUAAGUACCCCGAGGAAAAGAAAUCAACCGAGAUUCCCCCAGUAGCGGCGAGCGAACGGGGAACAGCCCAGAGCCUGAAUCAGCUUGUGUGUCAGUGGAACGGUCUGGAAAGGCCGGCGAUACAGGGUGACAGCCCCGUACACGAAGGCACACAGGCUGUGAGCUCGAUGAGUAGGGCGGGACACGUGAUAUCCUGUCUGAAGAUGGGGGGACCAUCCUCCAAGGCUAAAUACUCCUGACUGACCGAUAGUGAACCAGUACCGUGAGGGAAAGGCGAAAAGAACCCCGGCGAGGGGAGUGAAACAGAACCUGAAACCGUGUACGUACAAGCAGUGGGAGCCUUCGUAAGAGGGUGACUGCGUACCUUUUGUAUAAUGGGUCAGCGACUUAUAUUCUGUAGCAAGGUUAACCGUAUAGGGGAGCCGAAGGGAAACCGAGUCUUAAUUGGGCGUUAAGUUGCAGGGUAUAGACCCGAAACCCGGUGAUCUAGCCAUGGGCAGGUUGAAGGUUGGGUAACACUAACUGGAGGACCGAACCGACUAAUGUUGAAAAAUUAGCGGAUGACCUGUGGCUGGGGGUGAAAGGCCAAUCAAACCGGGAGAUAGCUGGUUCUCCCCGAAAGCUAUUUAGGUAGCGCCUCGUGAACUCAUCUCCGGGGGUAGAGCACUGUUUCGGCUAGGGGGCCAUCCCGGCUUACCAACCCGAUGCAAACUGCGAAUACCGGAGAAUGUUAUCACGGGAGACACACGGCGGGUGCUAACGUCCGUCGUGAAGAGGGAAACAACCCAGACCGCCAGCUAAGGUCCCAAAGUCAUGGUUAAGUGGGAAACGAUGUGGGAAGGCCCAGACAGCCAGGAUGUUGGCUUAGAAGCAGCCAUCAUUUAAAGAAAGCGUAAUAGCUCACUGGUCGAGUCGGCCUGCGCGGAAGAUGUAACGGGGCUAAACCAUGCACCGAAGCUGCGGCAGCGACACUAUGUGUUGUUGGGUAGGGGAGCGUUCUGUAAGCCUGUGAAGGUGUGCUGUGAGGCAUGCUGGAGGUAUCAGAAGUGCGAAUGCUGACAUAAGUAACGAUAAAGCGGGUGAAAAGCCCGCUCGCCGGAAGACCAAGGGUUCCUGUCCAACGUUAAUCGGGGCAGGGUGAGUCGACCCCUAAGGCGAGGCCGAAAGGCGUAGUCGAUGGGAAACAGGUUAAUAUUCCUGUACUUGGUGUUACUGCGAAGGGGGGACGGAGAAGGCUAUGUCGGCCGGGCGACGGUUGUCCCGGUUUAAGCGUGUAGGCUGACUUUCCAGGCAAAUCCGGAAAGUUAAGGCUGAGGCGUGAUGACGAGGCACCACGGUGCUGAAGUGACAAAUGCCCUGCUUCCAGGAAAAGCCUCUAAGCAUCAGGUAACAUCAAAUCGUACCCCAAACCGACACAGGUGGUCAGGUAGAGAAUACCAAGGCGCUUGAGAGAACUCGGGUGAAGGAACUAGGCAAAAUGGUGCCGUAACUUCGGGAGAAGGCACGCUGACAUGUAGGUGAAGCCCCUGCGGGUGGAGCUGAAGUCAGUCGAAGAUACCAGCUGGCUGCAACUGUUUAUUAAAAACACAGCACUGUGCAAACACGAAAGUGGACGUAUACGGUGUGACGCCUGCCCGGUGCCGGAAGGUUAAUUGAUGGGGUUAUCGCAAGAGAAGCUCCUGAUCGAAGCCCCGGUAAACGGCGGCCGUAACUAUAACGGUCCUAAGGUAGCGAAAUUCCUUGUCGGGUAAGUUCCGACCUGCACGAAUGGCGUAAUGAUGGCCAGGCUGUCUCCACCCGAGACUCAGUGAAAUUGAACUCGCUGUGAAGAUGCAGUGUACCCGCGGCAAGACGGAAAGACCCCGUGAACCUUUACUACAGCUUGACACUGAACAUUGAGCCUUGAUGUGUAGGAUAGGUGGGAGGCUUUGAAGCGUGGACGCCAGUCUGCGUGGAGCCGACCUUGAAAUACCACCCUUUAAUGUUUGAUGUUCUAACCUGGCGCCGUGAUCCGGCGUGGGGACAGUGUCUGGUGGGUAGUUUGACUGGGGCGGUCUCCUCCCAAAGUGUAACGGAGGAGCACGAAGGUCAGCUAAUCCUGGUCGGACAUCAGGAGGUUAGUGCAAUGGCAUAAGCUGGCUUGACUGCGAGAGUGACGGCUCGAGCAGGUGCGAAAGCAGGUCAUAGUGAUCCGGUGGUUCUGUAUGGAAGGGCCAUCGCUCAACGGAUAAAAGGUACUCCGGGGAUAACAGGCUGAUACCGCCCAAGAGUUCAUAUCGACGGCGGUGUUUGGCACCUCGAUGUCGGCUCAUCACAUCCUGGGGCUGAAGUAGGUCCCAAGGGUAUGGCUGUUCGCCAUUUAAAGUGGUACGCGAGCUGGGUUUAGAACGUCGUGAGACAGUUCGGUCCCUAUCUGCCGUGGGCGCUGGAGAAUUGAGGGGGGCUGCUCCCAGUACGAGAGGACCGGAGUGGACGCAUCACUGGUGUUCGGGUUGUCAUGCCAAUGGCACUGCCCGGUAGCUAAAUGCGGAAGAGAUAAGUGCUGAAAGCAUCUAAGCACGAAACUUGCCCCGAGAUGAGUUCUCCCUGAGACUAUGAGUCUCCUGAAGGAACGUUGAAGACGACGACGUUGAUAGGCCGGGUGUGUAAGCGCAGCGAUGCGUUGAGCUAACCGGUACUAAUGAACCGUGAGGCUUAACCUU
RNAcentral lists this ribosomal RNA (2902 nucleotides) under Cronobacter sakazakii. RNAcentral describes it as "23S ribosomal RNA". It matches the Rfam family "Bacterial large subunit ribosomal RNA". Lineage: Bacteria; Pseudomonadati; Pseudomonadota; Gammaproteobacteria; Enterobacterales; Enterobacteriaceae. The record is from RNAcentral.